Molecule: ribosomal RNA, 460 nt
Filed under: uncultured bacterium
Lineage: Bacteria
Description: partial 16S ribosomal RNA
Rfam family: Bacterial small subunit ribosomal RNA
Source: RNAcentral
CCUACGGGUGGCAGCAGUGAGGAAUAUUGGUCAAUGGGCGCUAGCCUGAACCAGCCAAGUAGCGUGAAGGAUGACUGCCCUAUGGGUUGUAAACUUCUUUUAAAUGGGAAUAAAGUGCAGUAUGUAUACUGCUUUGCAUGUAACGUCUGAAUAAGGAACGGCUAACUCUGUGCCAGCAGCAGCGGUAAUACGGAGGAUGCGAGCGUUAUCCGGAUUGAGUGGGGUUAAAGGGAGCGUAGGCGGGUUGUUAAGUCAGUUGUGAAAGUUUGCGGCGCAACCGUAAAAUUGCAGUUGAUACUGGCAUCCUUGAGUACAGUAGAGGUAGGCGGAAUUCGUGGUGUAGCGGUGGAAUGCGUAGAUAUCACGAAGAACUCCGAUUGCGAAGGCGGCCUGCUGGACUGUAACUGACGCUGAUGCUCGAAAGUGUGGGUAUCAAACAGGAUUAGAUACCCGAGUAGUC